Molecule: ribosomal RNA, 117 nt
Filed under: Petromyzon marinus (sea lamprey)
Lineage: Eukaryota; Metazoa; Chordata; Hyperoartia; Petromyzontiformes; Petromyzontidae
Source: RNAcentral
UUUUUCACAGAUCUCCAGUAAAUGUGCCAGAUCUCAUCAGAUCUUGAACACUAAGCAGAAUUGAGCCUGGCUAGUCCUUGUAUGGGCGACCACCGUGGCUGCCAGGUGUUGUAGGCG